UAAUAAGCGUUUUAUGGCACUUUUUAAAUCCAUAUCCACCUUGUGUGCAAUGUCGGUCGAUCUUUUUUGAGGAUCGACCAAACAUCAACUUUAUUUUUUAACUCUUUGUCUGAAAAAUAUUAUGAAUAAACAAUUCAAAAUA
RNAcentral lists this unclassified non-coding RNA (142 nucleotides) under soil metagenome. RNAcentral describes it as "partial internal transcribed spacer 1". The record is from RNAcentral.